Molecule: ribosomal RNA, 564 nt
Filed under: uncultured bacterium
Lineage: Bacteria
Description: partial 16S ribosomal RNA
Rfam family: Bacterial small subunit ribosomal RNA
Source: RNAcentral
UGGGGAAUUUUGGACAAUGGGCGAAAGCCUGAUCCAGCAAUGCCGCGUGUGUGAAGAAGGCCUUCGGGUUGUAAAGCACUUUUGUCCGGAAAGAAAUCCUUGGCUCUAAUACAGUCGGGGGAUGACGGUACCGGAAGAAUAAGCACCGGCUAACUACGUGCCAGCAGCCGCGGUAAUACGUAGGGUGCAAGCGUUAAUCGGAAUUACUGGGCGUAAAGCGUGCGCAGGCGGUUUGCUAAGACCGAUGUGAAAUCCCCGGGCUCAACCUGGGAACUGCAUUGGUGACUGGCAGGCUAGAGUAUGGCAGAGGGGGGUAGAAUUCCACGUGUAGCAGUGAAAGUGCGUAGAGAUGUGGAGGAAUACCGAUGGCGAAGGCAGCCCCCUGGGCCAAUACUGACGCUCAUGCACGAAAGCGUGGGGAGCAAACAGGAUUAGAUACCCUGGUAGUCCACGCCCUAAACGAUGUCAACUAGUUGUUGGGGACUUCAUUUCCUUAGUAACGUAGCUAACGCGUGAAGUUGACCGCCUGGGGAGUACGGUCGCAAGAUUAAACUCAAUGAAUUG